UGCGUGGGGGCGGGGCCCUCCAGGCUUCUGUUCCUGGCCGUCUCGCCGGCUAGCUCAAAUGGUCCCAGUAUCCAUCUAUCUGGGACUUCUCCAGUGCCUCAGUGGUAAAGAAUCUGCCUGCAGUGUUGGAGACACAGAAGAUGGGAGUGAUCCCUGGGUUGGGAAGUUCCCCUGGAGGAGAGCAUGGCAACCCACUCCAGUAUUCUUGCCUGGAGAAUCCCAUGGACAGAUGAGCCUGGCUGGCCUCGGUCUCAAGCAGUCUGAAGUAAGCAAACAGACUGACCGAGAAGCAUGUCAACAAGAACUUCUCCUUGGACCCCCUUCCCUUCCAGUUACUCUCAUGGUCGGAGUUUUCGUGACACAAGCACCACCAACUCAUUUCAUUUCUUGUUUGUUUUUGGCUGCGUGGAGUCUUAUGUUGCUGCGUGAGGGCCUUAGUCGCAGUGCGUGGGCUUCUCUUGUUGGGGCUUGUGGGCUCUAGAGCGUGGACUCGAUAGUUGUGGCCCUCGGGGUUACUUGCCCUGCAGCGUGUGGAGUCUUCCUGCUCCAGGAAUGGAACGCAUGUCACCUGCAUUGGCAGGUGGAUUCUUAAACACUGGACUACCAGGGAGGUCCAGCCAACUCCUUUCAGUCUAGUUGCAGCUGCCUUCCCCCAAGCGAAUCUCAUCCACCCAUAGAAUCUUCUCAAUCCAUUUUACCUCAUGUCCCAGCUACACCGGAUCCAGAUAAUCACCCUCCUUUGGCAACUGAGACUUUUCUUGCUUCCUAAAGUAUCAAACUCUCUUGGUUGUCCUCUCCUCUCUGCCCUUGCUCAGUCCUUCUUCCUCUACCUAACAUAUAACCACUGGAUUUCCUCAACACUCAUCCCUAAAGUCCUUUUCUUACUCUAUACAUUCUCAGUCUCCAUUAUUCACUUAACAUCUCAACAUCUUGUUUUUCAAACUGAGAGUCACCUCAUUAAUGGGUUGUGAAAUCAGUUUACUGGGUCAUAUCUAGCAAUUUUUAAAAAAUCAAAUGGAAUAAAAAACAUCAGAACCACAUGGUAUAUGGAAUAAGAAUAUUAAGGAGAAACACCAAAUGUCCAUCAACAGAAAUAAAUGUGGUUUGGCCAUACAAUGGAGUGGAAUAUUAUACAGCAGUAAAAAGGAAUAAAGCACUGAUAUAUGGAAUAGCACAAAGUAGGGAUUAGCAAACUUUUCUGUCAAGUGCCAGACAGAAAGUUUUUAGGCUUUGUGGACCAUUUGUCUCUGUUGCAGCUACUCAACUCUGUGUAGCAUGACUGUAGCCAUAGAUAAUACAUAAAGAAAUGAGUCAUGACAGUGUCCCAAUAGAACUUUAUUUAUAGGCACUGAAUUUUGAAUUUAAUUAUUCUGAUUUGUUAAAGUUGUUUGAAAAUAUAAAGCCAUUCUUAUCUCUUGGGUCUUUAAAUAAACAGGCAAUAGGCAGGAUUUGGCCCAUAGGCUAGAGUUUGCUGAUCACUGCCAUAGAUGAAUCUCAAAAACAUGAAGCUGAGUGAAAGAAGCCAAACCCAAAUUAAUACAGAUACUAAAUAUGUCCUUUGUGAUUUCAUUUAUAUGAAAUUCUAGACAAUGCAAACUCAUCUAUAAUGACAGAAAGCCUGGGGCCAGGGGUCAAAGGGUUUCCCCAGUGGCUCAGGGGUAAAAGAAUCUGCCUGCCAAUGCAGGAGACUCAGCUUUGAUCCCUGGAUCAGGAAUAUCCUCUGGAGAAGGAAAUGGCAACCCACUCCAGUAUUCUUGCCUGGGAAAUCCCAUGGACAGAGGAACCUGGGGGGUUAAGUCCAUGGGUCACAAAAGAGUCAGACAUGACUGAGCAACUGAAUAACAACAAGGGGUCAAAGGGAAUUGAAUGUAUGGGGGUAUUAGGGGACUUUUGAGGGUGAUAGAAAUGUUCUGUAUUUUUAAAAAAUUGAUUUAUUUGGCUGUGCUAGGUCUUAGUUGCAGCACUCCAAAUAUUUUCACUUGCCUCAUGCUGAAUAUUUUUACUUGCAGCUUGCAGGAUCGUUAGUGUGGCAUUCAGGAUCUAGUUCUCUGACCAGAGAUCAAACCCUGGGCCCCUGCAUUGGUAGUGAGGUGUCUUAGCCUAUGGGCCACCAGGGAAGUCCUUAGUUUGCCUUUAAAAAGGCUUUACUGAGGGAUUUUCCUGUUGGUCUAGUGGUUAGGACUCCACACUUUCACUGCUGAGGGCCAGGGUUCAAUCCUUGAUCUGGAAACUAAGAUCCUGCA
This is a long non-coding RNA of Capra hircus (goat), 2243 nucleotides long. RefSeq lists it as uncharacterized. The transcript has 3 exons. The record is from RefSeq and is a predicted model, not a curated record. Lineage: Eukaryota; Metazoa; Chordata; Mammalia; Artiodactyla; Bovidae.